RNAcentral lists this ribosomal RNA (425 nucleotides) under uncultured bacterium. Its description in RNAcentral is "bacterial SSU rRNA". It matches the Rfam family "Bacterial small subunit ribosomal RNA", at positions 355 to 796 of the family's 1533-position model. The record is from RNAcentral.
CAAGGGAUUUUCCGCAAUGGGGGCAACCCUGACGGAGCAACGCCGCGUGCGGGACGACGCCUCUUGGGGUGUAAACCGCUUUUGCCGAGGACGAGAACGGACGGUACUCGGCGAAUCAGGACCGGCUAACUACGUGCCAGCAGCCGCGGUAAUACGUAGGGUCCGAGCGUUGUCCGGAGUGACUGGGCGUAAAGCGCGCGCAGGCGGCCUUUUAGGCACGACGUGAAAGCCCCGGGCUCAACCCGGGAGGGUCGUCGUGAACCGGGAGGCUUGAGGCCGGUAGAGGUGGGUGGAACUCCUGGUGGAGUGGUGAAAUGCGUAGAGAUCAGGAAGAACACCCGUGGCGAAGGCGGCCCACUGGGCCGGUACUGACGCUGAGGCGCGAAGGCGUGGGGAGCGAACGGGAUUAGAUACCCCCGUAGUCC